GGAGUUAUCUGCUGUAGAAGCUCGGAUGGAGACUUUUCGUUGGUGAAGCCCGACAGGAGUCCGAUUGCUAGAGGAGUCCGUCUGGGGUUUACCUGAUGUGGAAGCUCAUCUGAAGAUGAUCCACCAGAGAAGUUCGGUUUCAUGAAGGAUCUGGCAGGAGGUCGGUCGGUGAUGGACUUCGGAUGGCACUGGGGAGGUUCGACAGACGUUGGAGGCGAUCGAUCGUUGUAAGAAUCCAGCUGUCGGAGUCCGUCCGUCACAGAAGCU
Molecule: long non-coding RNA, 267 nt
Filed under: Elaeis guineensis (African oil palm)
Lineage: Eukaryota; Viridiplantae; Streptophyta; Magnoliopsida; Arecales; Arecaceae
Description: long non-coding RNA (EGUI_LNC046613)
Source: RNAcentral